GCUGGAGGUAUCAGAAGUGCGAAUGCUGACAUAAGUAACGAUAAAGCGGGUGAAAAGCCCGCUCGCCGGAAGACCAAGGGUUCCUGUCCAACGUUAAUCGGGGCAGGGUGAGUCGACCCCUAAGGCGAGGCCGAAAGGCGUAGUCGAUGGGAAACGGGUUAAUAUUCCCGUACUUGGUGUUACUGCGAAGGGGGGACGGAGAAGGCUAUGUUGGCCGGGCGACGGUUGUCCCGGUUUAAGCGUGUAGGUGUGUGUUCCAGGUAAAUCCGGUUCACUUUAACACUGAGGCGUGAUGACGAGGCACUACGGUGCUGAAGCAACAAAUGCCCUGCUUCCAGGAAAAGCCUCUAAGCAUCAGGUAACAUCAAAUCGUACCCCAAACCGACACAGGUGGUCAGGUAGAGAAUACCAAGGCGCUUGAGAGAACUCGGGUGAAGGAACUAGGCAAAAUGGUGCCGUAACU
This 463-nucleotide ribosomal RNA is filed under the name Salmonella enterica. Its description in RNAcentral is "partial 23S ribosomal RNA". It matches the Rfam family "Bacterial large subunit ribosomal RNA", at positions 1272 to 1735 of the family's 2925-position model. RNAcentral also lists the same sequence under 1 other name. Lineage: Bacteria; Pseudomonadati; Pseudomonadota; Gammaproteobacteria; Enterobacterales; Enterobacteriaceae. The record is from RNAcentral.